GCUGUUCAGGUCCUUCAACUCUGCCUCCAGCUGCCGGCAGCCCUGCAGCAGCGCCUGCAGCUCGGCGGACCGCGCGGAGAUGUCCGCAUCCAACACGCGGAGCUCCGCAUCGCCAGCGGCCGGGAGCUGCUCCUGGUCUGCGAAGUACACCUUCUGCUUGCCGUAGGCCUUCUCGCGGAUGUGGCCCUGCUGCGCCAGCUGCUCCAGCGCCUUCACCACGGCCGCCUUGCCCAGCCCGUGCUCCCGCUGCAGGUUCCCGAAGACGUCCUGGGCGCUGUACGGCCGGUUCUGCUCCCGCAGGUAGCGCAGCAGGAUAGCGGUGGCCCCGCCGCCCGCCGCGGGGCCCUCGCGCCCUUUGCUCAUCUUGUUCCCGCGCCCCACUCAGGCGGCGUGACGCACUUCCUGCGCGACGCACAGCGAAGGAACGGGGCUUCCUUCCGCGGUCCGCACGCAGAUGGUCCGGUUCCGCGCCGCUUCCGGCCGCAGACCUCGGGCAGUUCCGGUGUCUUCUGUCGCCGCACGACAGCUGUCCUGCGAUUGAAGGCUGCUCCUCGAUGGACGCUUUUAGCGUUAACUCACGCGAUACGGGACAGCUUUAAAGGGCGGGGGAAGAAUCAAUUAACCAUCGAGGGGAACCACGUGGGUUGUGUGGCCCUCUGAGCUCGAACCGAGCGCCCCGGGCCCGCCCUUUCAGAACGUUUCCCCAGGGCCGCCAUUUCUGCGCAGUACCACCUCCCCACACCCCAGCUCGGUUCCCCUCAGAGCCUCAGGAGCAAAUAAAAAGCAGCAGAAGAGGCUGAGAUGGGACAGCCCUCCCCCGGAAGCUAGGGAGACACGAGGGGGACAGAGGGAGUGAGAGGCUCACCCACAGAACUCAAUUAUCACAAAAUGAAAGAAGAAUCCGAAAAUGAAACAAGAAAUUUUAAUUCCACAAGUGAGUGCUGAGCACGUAUUCUGUACCACUCAGCUCUGCUAGGGGGUUGUGACAGGCUCUUUACUUCAGAUUCCAAAGUAGGCUGACAUUUUAUCAGAUGACAGCUUGUUCUUGCAAGGCCCAAAUGAAGAUUGAUGCUAGAACAAAAUAAAGCCUCCACCUCAGUCAUGGCUGCAAAAAAUACCUGCUCCCUUAAAUCAAGACAGUCCAAGCACUGCAGGGCCAACACCUUCAGCUAAGCAGAAUCAGACCAAAAAAAAAAAAAAAAAAAAAAGCACAUACAUGGGAGUUUCCCUGAAGAGGUAAGUGAUCUGUAUCAGUUUCUAUGGCUUAGAAAAAGCAAUGGGAAAGCUCAAUGACUCAGAAAGGGCUGGAAGGCUUGGGCAAUCCAGCUUAAAGAAUGUCUCUCCCCUAUGGGUUGCUGGUUUGUUUAAGUGACCACAACAAGUAGUUCUUCAGUCACCUGUGGCUUGAGCUCCUGUCCUCCUUUCAACUCCUGCUGGUAGGCUCUCAACUAUACAAAGCUGUGAAACAGCAGGGUGUCCUGGAAGCCCAGAACAAAACUGGCCAAGCAGGCCAAGUCUGCUUCUUCCAUCCUCCAGAAAAUCUCUCCCUAGUAGUUCUCUCGGAGGCAGUGUCAAGGGAAACAUAGUAUUGCUACUGUCCAUGCUGAACAUGUUCUGGAAUAACACUGGAAGUUUUUAGCAAAUUGUUAGUCCAUUAUUUUAAGAAAGCAACACAAGAACAGCUGCCACGUGUAGAUGUUCUUUGCAGGAUUCUAG
Molecule: long non-coding RNA, 1716 nt
Filed under: Gallus gallus (chicken)
Lineage: Eukaryota; Metazoa; Chordata; Aves; Galliformes; Phasianidae
Source: RNAcentral